CGAGUCUUAACUGGGCGAAUUAGUUGCAGGGUAUAGACCCGAAACCCGGUGAUCUAGCCAUGGGCAGGUUGAAGGUUGGGUAACACUAACUGGAGGACCGAACCGACUAAUGUUGAAAAAUUAGCGGAUGACUUGUGGCUGGGGGUGAAAGGCCAAUCAAACCGGGAGAUAGCUGGUUCUCCCCGAAAGCUAUUUAGGUAGCGCCUCGUGAACUCAUCUCCGGGGGUAGAGCACUGUUUCGGCUAGGGGGUCAUCCCGACUUACCAACCCGAUGCAAACUGCGAAUACCGGAGAAUGUUAUCACGGGAGACACACGGCGGGUGCUAACGUUCGUCGUGAAGAGGGAAACAACCCAGACCGCCGGCUAAGGUCCCAAAGUCAUAAUUAAGUGGGAAACGAAGUGGGAAGGCUCAGACAGCCAGGAUGUUGGCUUAGAAGCAGCCAUCAUUUAAAGAAAGCGUAAUAGCUCACUGGUCGAGUCGGCCUGCGCGGAAGAUGUAACGGGGCUAAAUUAUGCACCGAAGCCGCGGCAGCGAUAUGUAAAUAUUGUUGGGUAGGGGAGCGUUCUGUAAGCCUGUGAAGGUGACCUGUGAGGGUUGCUGGAGGUAUCAGAAGUGCGAAUGCUGACAUAAGUAACGAUAAUGCGGGUGAAAAACCCGCACGCCGGAAGACCAAGGGUUCCUGUCCAACGUUAAUCGGGGCAGGGUGAGUCGACCCCUAAGGCGAGGCUGAAAAGCGUAGUCGAUGGGCAACGGGUUAAUAUUCCCGUACUGGUGGUAACUGCGAAGGGGGGACGGAGAAAGCUAAAUCAUCCGGGCGACGGUUGUCCCGGUUUAAGCGUGCAGGUGGACUGACCAGGCAAAUCCGGUCGGUUGUUAACACUGAGGCGUGACGACGAGCCACUACGGUGGUGAAGUGAUUGAUGCUCUGCUUCCGGGAAAAGCCUCUAAGCUCCAGGUUACCAUUAAUCGUACCCCAAACCGACACAGGUGGUCAGGUAGAGAAUACUCAGGCGCUUGAGAGAACUCGGGUGAAGGAACUAGGCAAAAUGGUGCCGUAACU
Molecule: ribosomal RNA, 1062 nt
Filed under: Morganella morganii
Lineage: Bacteria; Pseudomonadati; Pseudomonadota; Gammaproteobacteria; Enterobacterales; Morganellaceae
Description: partial 23S ribosomal RNA
Rfam family: Bacterial large subunit ribosomal RNA
Source: RNAcentral